This 3025-nucleotide long non-coding RNA is filed under the name Zea mays. RNAcentral's name for it is "long non-coding RNA (ZMAY_LNC004179)". The record is from RNAcentral. Lineage: Eukaryota; Viridiplantae; Streptophyta; Magnoliopsida; Poales; Poaceae.
UCGAAUGUCACAUCUUUACUAUAUAACAGGAGUUCUAUACAAAAUAAUUAAAUAAUUACAUCAUAUGAGGAAACGAUCCAGCAACCCAAAGUUGACUGGGAGACGACGGCCUAGACCUCUCACGAACACAUCGCAGCAUCCUCCAAGCGCCUCAUCCUGCGGUACCUGUUCUUGACCUGUGGGGGUGUGAGACAGCAAGAGUGAGCUCACAUACGUUCAUCGCUCAACAAGUUGUGGGGAAUAAUGUGUAUGAACUCGCCAAAGGUGGGAGCUCAUGUGAAGUGUCAGGCUUACCAAAGAGGAUGGCUGAAGCUGAGCAUUGCUUUUAAAGUUGGUCAAAAUUUUAUUAGCCAUUACUAAGUAUAAGUAAAUACCAACCCAAUUAAAUAGUAGAACAGAAGUAACAACAUCACCUGCGAUGCAAUGCAUAUGACAAAUUGAAUUUAAGUUCCAUAGAUUAAUCAUGUGAGUGUCCGAGCCGCUCAUGACCGUGAGCACGGCUAGUAUACCAGUUUUACACUCUGCAGAGGUUGCGCAUCUUUACCCACAAGUCAUGUUACCCAUCUGCCAAGGGAUCGCGACUUCCCAUACACCUCUACCGAGGAGGCGAGGCAGGGUAACACUACGAGGCCUUUACAAAGUUCCACUAGCUUCAGAAAACCCGCUACAGUUUAUAGGAAGCUCCAAUGCAGGAAUCCCUUGCAGGACCGCCAUCGCAGCAAAAUCCUCCCGAGGGCCUCCCUACACUGACCACUCCCCUACUGCCCUUGCCCCUUUCGGGUAAGGUAGUCUUCCACUAGCUUUCCUAAUUAAUCGGCCAAGGGCGUCCCAUUAAACCCUUGUGGUAGCACUGUUUUCCCGGGUGGUUCUCCAUGUUCCAAUUAACAUAAUGAUCUUAUCAUGAACAGUAAAUAGCAACUGAUAACAAAAGUAUGAAUAAUAUGUAUCUCAAUGCCCAAAUCCACAUAUAGCACUAGCAAGUACUACCCAGAAAGUUUAGUGGUAAACAAGGCAUAAAGAUAGACAAACUAGGGUAACCUAUUAGGUCCCAUCAAAUUAACCUAUGCAGAUCAUUAUGAUUAAUUAGAACAUGAGUGGGUAAAAGAAGUGAUCAAGGGCACAACUUGCCUGGGACUUGAGAUUCCAGAUACCAGGAUGAUCUUCAGGUGACUCGUAACCUCGCUGCUAGUCGUAGCAAUACAAACAAACAUGGUAUGGACAAAAUUAACAUCACACCAAACAUAAGAAUAAACCGUGUAAUAAUAAUCUACGCGCUGUUACGAGAUCGUGGGAUCGAGAACGACUAAAUUCGGAGUCACGGUUAAGGAGUUAUGGUUUUCAGAAGACCCAUGCAAUUUAAGCAGUUAAAACUAGACCUUAUGUUAUUAAUAGAUCAUGUGAGAAAAUAAUCUAAAUAAUUAAUUCAACUUUAAGUUAAAUUAUAAUAUAAUUAGGGAUGAUAUUUUAGCCAAACUAUAGUUAUAAACAAAUUAACUUUGAUUUAGAGAGGUUAAUCUACUAAACAUAGGCUAAACAAAUAUCUAAUUAUAAAAAUUAUUUUCUAUGGUACAAUUAAUGUUUGCACUGCAUAGACAAUAUUUUUAUGAAGCUAACGCAAUUUGAAUGGAUCAAAUUGGAGUUACAGUUAUUGAGUUACGAAUUUCUGAAGUUAUUUAGCACCUAGAAUAGAUUAAUUCAAACGAACCAUUUUAAUUCAAGUUUCAUGGCUAAACAAAGGUACUAGGUGAUACACAAUAUUAAUACAAAAUUAUUGCAACUGGAAUGACUCAAUUUGGAGUUAAAAUGAAUUAACUAUGAAUUUGAUUAUCUUUGUAUUAAAAAUCAAUUUCUGUAAUUAAUUAUCCAUUUUCAUUGUUCUCUAGACCGAGCACUAAUUACAGAGGACCCCGGGGGCAGAACCAGAAGUUUUCCCCAGACUCAGACAACCUGCUGGUGGACGGCGGGUUGAUUGUAUAAAAGUGUAGGAGCUCUUUUGAAAAACAAACAGGGCCGAAGGGGUAUGCACUAUUCUGGAUCGUCCCGAACUCGAUCUAGGGCUAGGAUUAAAUUUCCAUAAUACUGAAUCGGUAUGUGCUGUCGACCCUCUGAUUGGAAUUCAACGCCCAUGAUUUUAAAUGCCGCGAUGCAAUUCCAACCACCCGAUCUCGAUCCAACGGCAUAGCCAACAUCUAACCCAAUCGGUACCAUCGUUACAAUCCACACGGUUCAAUCUGCCAUCAACGGCCAAAGGAUCCAUCUUCUACCCCGAUGCAGACCCGAGCGGCGCGUCUUCCUCACAACACCUCCUCCCCUACCCAUCGGCCAUCGGUCAGGCGCUUAAGUCCCCCAUGGCGGCAGCCAUGGCCGGUGUUUCGGACCCAGCACAACGACGUUCCAACCGGACCAAGAACCUAAGCUACGUGACGCGGAGAACCCAGCGAACAAACAAGAGAGGACGCACCUGCGACCGGAACAAUGACCGAGUCUGCCCACAUCACAAGAUCUUCACGCAACGGCACACCACUGCUGGCAACGACAUCAAACACCCACCAGUGACACACCAUGACCCGACUAUGCGCACGGAACGGCAGCACAGGCGGAAUUCCAAGGCGGUGGUGCUACUUUCUUUCUCUCGCUUCGAUUUCUUGUUGUGGCCGAGCGCCGAGCUGAUGGGACGACCGGACGAGGGCAUGCUGUGCUUGUUUAUAUAUAUCCGAGCGAGAAAAUCCGUUGCCGAGAAGCUCGGGCAGAGGCCGAAUUGACCGAUGCGACCGAGCGAGUAUCGGCGGGAUUUGUUUGCAAUCGGUGACAGGCGCUGAGUUGGAUUUGGAAGAAGACGACCCUGACGCGGCGACACAAACUCAUCUCUCUGCUACCUCCCAACUCUGCACACCAUGAUUAAUGGAUUGAUACAGGAGCUCGCAGCGACCUGCGCUUUAUAGCCCAGCAUCGACGCCGCAUCCAUGGCCCACCGUGCGCAGGUGCUCGUCGAGGCCAAGGGUUUGGGCGCUUCUAGGACUUCUAG